RNAcentral lists this transfer RNA (90 nucleotides) under Ignavibacteriales bacterium. RNAcentral's name for it is "tRNA-Ser". It matches the Rfam family "tRNA". From Rfam's summary of the family: Transfer RNA (tRNA) molecules are approximately 80 nucleotides in length. Their secondary structure includes four short double-helical elements and three loops (D, anti-codon, and T loops). Lineage: Bacteria; Pseudomonadati; Ignavibacteriota; Ignavibacteria; Ignavibacteriales. The record is from RNAcentral.
GGAGAGGUGCAAGAGUGGCUGAAUUGGCUACCCUGGAAAGGUAGUGUAUCCGCAAGGGUACCGUGGGUUCGAAUCCCACCUUCUCCGCUA